RNAcentral lists this unclassified non-coding RNA (281 nucleotides) under fungal sp. RNAcentral describes it as "partial internal transcribed spacer region". The stretch from base 1 to 46 matches the Rfam family "Eukaryotic small subunit ribosomal RNA", at positions 1786 to 1831 of the family's 1831-position model. Lineage: Eukaryota; Fungi. The record is from RNAcentral.
AAGUCGUAACAAGGUUUCCGUAGGUGAACCUGCGGAAGGAUCAUUGACAAAUCUAAAACAAGUUGCUUGGAGGAUGGCCUUUAACCGGGUUACUCUUCAAGUCAACAACAUCCUAACCUGUGAAUCGCAGCACGCAAGUGUUGUUUGUGGUGUUGUUGUUGGUUAUAGCUAGCUUAACAGCUGCUUUGCAACAGCAACCCCUCACAUAAAUUUACGUAACACAAAUGUCUUAGAAAUCAAACUAAAAAAUACAACUUUUAGCAAUGGAUCUCUUGGCUUCU